AGUGAACGCUGGCGGUAGGCCUAACACAUGCAAGUCGAACGGCAGCACAGUAAGAGCUUGCUCUUACGGGUGGCGAGUGGCGGACGGGUGAGGAAUACAUCGGAAUCUACUUUUUCGUGGGGGAUAACGUAGGGAAACUUACGCUAAUACCGCAUACGACCUACGGGUGAAAGCAGGAGAUCUUCGGACCUUGCGCGAUUGAAUGAGCCGAUGUCGGAUUAGCUAGUUGGCGGGGUAAAGGCCCACCAAGGCGACGAUCCGUAGCUGGUCUGAGAGGAUGAUCAGCCACACUGGAACUGAGACACGGUCCAGACUCCUACGGGAGGCAGCAGUGGGGAAUAUUGGACAAUGGGCGCAAGCCUGAUCCAGCCAUACCGCGUGGGUGAAGAAGGCCUUCGGGUUGUAAAGCCCUUUUAUUGGGAAAGAAAAGCAGCAGGUUAAUACCCCGCUGUUCUGACGGUACCCAAAGAAUAAGCACCGGCUAACUUCGUG
Molecule: ribosomal RNA, 492 nt
Filed under: uncultured bacterium
Lineage: Bacteria
Description: partial 16S ribosomal RNA
Rfam family: Bacterial small subunit ribosomal RNA
Source: RNAcentral